AGAGUUUGAUCAUGGCUCAGAACGAACGCUGGCGGCGCGCCUAACACAUGCAAGUCGAACGAGAAAGCAGGAGCAAUCUUGUGAGUAAAGUGGCGUACGGGUGAGUAACACGUGGAUCAUCUACCCUGGAGUGGGGGAUAACUGAGGGAAACCUUAGCUAAUACCGCAUAACACCUACGGGUCAAAGGAGCAAUUCGCUUCAGGAGGGGGUCGCGGCCGAUUAGUUAGUUGGCGGGGUAAUGGCCCACCAAGACUGUGAUCGGUAUCCGGCCUGAGAGGGCGCACGGACACACUGGAACUGAAACACGGUCCAGACUCCUACGGGAGGCAGCAGUGGGGAAUUUUGCGCAAUGGGGGAAACCCUGACGCAGCAACGCCGCGUGGAGGAUGAAGUACUUCGGUACGUAAACUCCUUUCGAUCGGGACGAUUAUGACGGUACCGGAAGAAGAAGCCCCGGCUAACUUCGUGCCAGCAGCCGCGGUAAUACGAGGGGGGCAAGCGUUGUUCGGAAUUAUUGGGCGUAAAGGGUGCGUAGGCGGUUUGGUAAGUCUUAUGUGAAAUCUAUGGGCUCAACUCAUAGACUGCAUGAGAAACUGCCGGGCUUGAGUGUGGGAGAGGUGAGUGGAAUUUCCGGUGUAGCGGUGAAAUGCGUAGAUAUCGGAAGGAACACCUGUGGCGAAAGCGGCUCACUGGACCACAACUGACGCUGAUGCACGAAAGCUAGGGGAGCAAACAGGAUUAGAUACCCUAGUAGUCC
This 758-nucleotide ribosomal RNA is filed under the name uncultured bacterium. RNAcentral describes it as "bacterial SSU rRNA". It matches the Rfam family "Bacterial small subunit ribosomal RNA", at positions 8 to 796 of the family's 1533-position model. The record is from RNAcentral.